GACGAACGCUGGCGGCGUGCUUAACACAUGCAAGUCGAACGGAAAGGCCCCUUUGGGGGUACUCGAGUGGCGAACGGGUGAGUAACACGUGCGUAACCUGCCCUUGACUUCGGGAUAACUUCAGGAAACUGGGGCUAAUACCGGAUAGGAAUCCUUGCUGCAUGGUGGGGGUUGGAAAGCUUCGGCGGUUUUGGAUGGACUCGCGGCUUAUCAGCUUGUUGGUGGGGUAGUGGCUUACCAAGGCUUUGACGGGUAGCCGGCCUGAGAGGGCGACCGGCCACAUUGGGACUGAGAUACGGCCCAGACUCCUACGGGAGGCAGCAGUGGGGAAUAUUGCACAAUGGGCGGAAGCCUGAUGCAGCAACGCCGCGUGCGGGAUGACGGCCUUCGGGUUGUAAACCGCGUUCAGCAGGGGCGAAGCUUGUGGUGACGGUACCUGCAGAAGAAGCACCGGCUAACUACGUG
This 465-nucleotide ribosomal RNA is filed under the name uncultured bacterium. Its description in RNAcentral is "partial 16S ribosomal RNA". It matches the Rfam family "Bacterial small subunit ribosomal RNA", at positions 28 to 507 of the family's 1533-position model. The record is from RNAcentral.